GAUCCUGCCAGUAGUCAUAUGCUUGUCUCAAAGAUUAAGCCAUGCAUGUGUUAGUCUCAGUAGUUUCACUUCUUCACUGUGGAUGGCUCAUUACCACAGCAGCAGUCACUGCAGCAGUCUUGCUACAUGGAUAACUGUGGCAAAUCUAGGGCUAAUACAUGAUGUUGGCUUGCCUCAGAGGAAGAGCUGCGCUUGUUAAACACGCGAACCAUUACAGGGCUUCCCUGUCCAUUACCGAGAGAUGGUGAAUCAGUGAAUUGUGCUGCUUCGGCGGACAAAAGGCUGCGAGAGCUUCUGACCUAUCAGCUUCCGACGCUAGGGUAUUGGCCUGCCGUGGCAAUGACGGGUACCGGAGAAUUAGGGUUUGAUUCCGGAGAGGGAGCCUGGCAAACGGCUACCACAUCCAAGGAAGGCAGCAGGCGCGCAAAUUGCCCAAUUCUGAGUGAGAGAGGUAGUGACAAGAAAUAACAAUGCGGGGCAUCCAUGUCUUGUAAUUGGAAUGAGCAGUAUCUAAGCCCGCCUGCGAGUAUCAAUUGGAGGGCAAGUCUGGUGCCAGCAGCCGCGGUAAUUCCAGCUCCGAAAGCAUAUAUUAAAGCUGUUGCAGUUAAAAAGCUCGUAGUUGGAUGUCUAUCAAGAGCACUUGGUCUACCCACUGGGUGUGUGUCAUCUUGCUUUGGAUACCUCUGGGGAAUGUGGCUGCACUUGACUGUGUGGUGCAGUAUCCAGAGCAUUUACUUUGAGGAAAUUGGAGUGCUUCAAGCAAGCCUUGCCCUUGCACAUGCUAGCAUGGAAUAGACUGCUUGCGCCCUGGCUCAUUCUUGAUGGUUUCUUGAUUCGGGGCGAGAUUGAGUAGGGAUGGUUGGGGGUGCUUGAACUCAGCAGUCAGAGGUGAAAUUCUUGGAUUUGCUGAAGUCAUUCAAAUGCGAAAGCAUCUGCCCAAGACGUUUUCAUUGAUCAAGAACGAAAGUUAGGGGAUCGAAGACGAUCAGAUACCGUCCUAGUCUUAACAGUAAACGAUGCCCACUUGGAAUUGGCUGCUGUUUUCCACACGACAUUGCCAGCGCCUGAUGAGAAAUCAAAGUUCUUGGGUUCCAGGGGGAGUAUGGUCGCAAGGCUGAAACUUAAAGGAAUUGACGGAAGGGCACUACCAGGAGUGGAGCCUGCGGCUUAAUUUGACUCAACACGUGGAAACUUACCAGGUCCAGACAUAGGAGGGAGUGACAGACUGAUGGCUCUUUCGCGAUUCUAUGGGUGGUGGUGCAUGGCCGUUCUUAGUUGGUGGAGUGGUUUGUCUGGUUAAUUCCGUUAACGAACGAGACCUUGCCCUACUCACUAGCCGUGUGCAGCUGUUGCUUUACAUGUGGCUUCUUAGCGGGACUCUACAUGUCCAAUGUGGGGAGGUUUGAGGCAAUAACAGGUCUGUGAUGCCCUUAGAUGUUCUGGGCUGCACGCGCGCUACACUGAUGCCCGAAAUGAGGUGACUCCCUUGCCUGGCAAGGCUGGGAAAUCUCUGCAAUGUGCAUCGUGAUGGGGACAAUCCAUUGCAACUGUCGGUUU
This 1557-nucleotide ribosomal RNA is filed under the name Amphidinium sp. HG213. Its description in RNAcentral is "SSU rRNA". It matches the Rfam family "Eukaryotic small subunit ribosomal RNA", at positions 10 to 1599 of the family's 1831-position model. Lineage: Eukaryota; Dinophyceae; Amphidiniales; Amphidiniaceae. The record is from RNAcentral.